AGCCAUAAAGAGAGAGGGGUCGUACCUGAGAGAUCUUGAGAGAGAGGGAGAGAUUACGGUCCGACGGACUUCAAAGAGAGAUGGUGGUAGAGGUGGAGGCGAAGUGACGACGAUGGUGGUGGAGUCAGAGCGACGACAACAAUGGUGGCCCUAGGGAAAGCAAACAACUGUAAAAGAGGGAGAGAGAGAGUAAGGGGAG
RNAcentral lists this long non-coding RNA (199 nucleotides) under Elaeis guineensis (African oil palm). RNAcentral describes it as "long non-coding RNA (EGUI_LNC043095)". The record is from RNAcentral. Lineage: Eukaryota; Viridiplantae; Streptophyta; Magnoliopsida; Arecales; Arecaceae.